UUUACACAUGCUAGUCGAACGGCAGCGCGAGAGAGCUUGCUCUCUUGGCGGCGAGUGGCGGACGGGUGAGUAAUAUAUCGGAACGUGCCCAGUAGCGGGGGAUAACUACUCGAAAGAGUGGCUAAUACCGCAUACGCCCUACGGGGGAAAGGGGGGGAUCGCAAGACCUCUCACUAUUGGAGCGGCCGAUAUCGGAUUAGCUAGUUGGUGGGGUAAAGGCUCACCAAGGCAACGAUCCGUAGCUGGUUUGAGAGGACGACCAGCCACACUGGGACUGAGACACGGCCCAGACUCCUACGGGAGGCAGCAGUGGGGAAUUUUGGACAAUGGGGGAAACCCUGAUCCAGCCAUCCCGCGUGUAUGAUGAAGGCCUUCGGGUUGUAAAGUACUUUUGGCAGANAAGA
RNAcentral lists this ribosomal RNA (404 nucleotides) under Alcaligenes faecalis. RNAcentral describes it as "bacterial SSU rRNA". It matches the Rfam family "Bacterial small subunit ribosomal RNA", at positions 48 to 448 of the family's 1533-position model. The record is from RNAcentral. Lineage: Bacteria; Pseudomonadati; Pseudomonadota; Betaproteobacteria; Burkholderiales; Alcaligenaceae.